Small nucleolar RNA from Mastacembelus armatus (zig-zag eel), 72 nucleotides. Its record names the gene SNORD18. It matches the Rfam family "Small nucleolar RNA SNORD18". From Rfam's summary of the family: U18 is a member of the C/D class of snoRNA which contain the C (UGAUGA) and D (CUGA) box motifs. It is encoded in introns of ribosomal protein L1 in Xenopus and human, and in introns of elongation factor 1 beta in yeast. NCBI's taxonomy places the organism in Eukaryota, Metazoa, Chordata, Actinopteri, Synbranchiformes, Mastacembelidae. The record is from Ensembl.
AUACAGUGAUGAGCUUCUACUUCAUGGUCCGUGUUGUUGAAACUAUGUGAUAUUUACCGAAGUUCUGAGUGA